Molecule: self-splicing intron, 220 nt
Filed under: Parcubacteria group bacterium GW2011_GWA2_47_8
Lineage: Bacteria
Rfam family: Group I catalytic intron
About the family: Group I catalytic introns are large self-splicing ribozymes. They catalyse their own excision from mRNA, tRNA and rRNA precursors in a wide range of organisms.
Source: RNAcentral
AGUAAGUCGUAAACUAGUUGCGACUGUAGAGAGUAAUCUCUAACAACAAACUCGGCUAUUUGCUGGAAAAACUGUGAAUCUUGUACUACUCAUUCGUUCAUAACAUAGAUAUUAUGCGCAUUGUGAGUGAAAAUGUAACAAGUGCAGCCAAUCAGCAGGGAAGUCCGCUGUCCGUUUCAAAUGGAUAUGACCCCUCAGAGACUACACGCCGAGCGCCUAG